Molecule: ribosomal RNA, 406 nt
Filed under: uncultured bacterium
Lineage: Bacteria
Description: partial 16S ribosomal RNA
Rfam family: Bacterial small subunit ribosomal RNA
Source: RNAcentral
AUUGAACGCUGGCGGCAGGCCUAACACAUGCAAGUCGAACGAGUGGCGGACGGGUGAGUAAUGUAUGGGAAACUGCCUGAUGGAGGGGGAUAACUACUGGAAACGGUAGCUAAUACCGCAUACCAUCGGAUGUGCCCAGAUGGGAUUAGCUAGUAGGUGGGGUAACGGCUCACCUAGGCGAAGAUCCCUAGCUGGUCUGAGAGGAUGACCAGCCACACUGGAACUGAGACACGGUCCAGACUCCUACGGGAGGCAGCAGGGGGGAAUAUUGCACAAGGGGCGCAAGCCUGACGCAGCCAUGCCGCGUGUAUGAAGAAGGCCUUCGGGUUGUAAAGUACUUUCAGCGGGGAGGCGUUACCCGCAGAAGAAGCACCGGCUAACUCCGUGCCAGCCGCCGCGGUAAUUC